AACGCGAAGAACCUUACCUGGGCUCGAAAUGUAGGGGACUGUACUAGAAAUAGUACAUCCCGAAAGGGUCCCUAUAUAGGUGCUGCAUGGCUGUCGUCAGCUCGUGCCGUGAGGUGUUUGGUUAAGUCCAGCAACGAGCGCAACCCUUAUCGUUAGUUGCCAGCGCGUCAAGGCGGGAACUCUAACGAGACUGCCUGGGUUAACCAGGAGGAAGGUGAGGAUGAUGUCAAGUCCGCAUGGCCUUUAUGUCCAGGGCCACACACGUGCUACAAUGGUCGGUACAGAAGGCAGCGAAACCGCGAGGUGAAGCAAAUCCCUUAAAACCGAUCUCAGUUCAGAUUGGAGUCUGCAACUCGACUCCAUGAAGUUGGAAUUGCUAGUAAAGGCGUGUCAGCCACAACGCCUUGAAUACGUUCCCGGGCCUUGUACACACCGACUGUAC
This 442-nucleotide ribosomal RNA is filed under the name uncultured bacterium. Its description in RNAcentral is "bacterial SSU rRNA". It matches the Rfam family "Bacterial small subunit ribosomal RNA", at positions 958 to 1399 of the family's 1533-position model. The record is from RNAcentral.